UACGAAGGGUGCAACCGUUGCUCGGAAUUAUUGGGCGUAAAGCGCACGUAGGCGGCCCAGCAAGUCGGAAGUGAAAUCCCACGGCUCAACCAUGGAAGUGCUUUCGAAACUGCUGGGCUUGAGUACAAAAGAGGAUCGCGGAAUUCCCGGUGUAGAGGUGAAAUUCGUAGAUAUCGGGAGGAACACCAGUGGCGAAGGCGGCGAUCUGGGUUGAUACUGACGCUGAGGUGCGAAAGCGUGGGGAGCAAACAGG
This 253-nucleotide ribosomal RNA is filed under the name uncultured bacterium. Its description in RNAcentral is "partial 16S ribosomal RNA". It matches the Rfam family "Bacterial small subunit ribosomal RNA", at positions 524 to 776 of the family's 1533-position model. The record is from RNAcentral.